Non-coding RNA from Salmo salar (Atlantic salmon), 196 nucleotides. NCBI's taxonomy places the organism in Eukaryota, Metazoa, Chordata, Actinopteri, Salmoniformes, Salmonidae. The record is from RefSeq and is a predicted model, not a curated record.
AGUCCAAUACUGUUACUAUUGUCCUGUAGAGGUUAGUCUAACACUGUUACUAUUGUCCUACAGUCCUGUAGAGGUUAGUCCAAUACUGUUACUAUUGUCCUGUAGAGGUUAGUCCAAUACUGUUACUAUUGUCCUGUAGAGGUUAGUCCAAUACUGUUACUAUUAUCCUACAGUCCUGUAGAGGUUAGUCUAACAC